This 9223-nucleotide long non-coding RNA is filed under the name Podarcis lilfordi (Lilford's wall lizard). Lineage: Eukaryota; Metazoa; Chordata; Lepidosauria; Squamata; Lacertidae. The record is from RNAcentral.
GGGCAGCAGUGAGGUUGGGGCAAGGUGGGUUCUUUUCGGGUGCACCUAUGAGGCCACAGUGUUGCUGCUGCCCAGUUAGGCAAACAGGACUUGCGCCAGUGUUGGCACGGCAGAUCCAGGGCCCCACCUCACUGCUGGAGGGUUCUGUUGAUGUUUGGCAAUCAGAUCCCAUUGAUUUCAUGUGCUGAAAUUAAAUAGGUGUAGUGCUUCAGCAGGGACGCGGGUGGCGCUGUGGUCGAAAUCACUGAGCCUAGGACUUGCCGAUAAGAAGGUUGGCAGUUCGAAUCCCUGCGAUGGGGUGAGUUCCAUUGUUCAGUCCCAGCUCCUGCCAACCUAGCAGUCUGAAAGGAGGUCAAAGUGCAAGUAGAUCAAUAGGUACCGCUCCGGCGGGAAGGUAAACGGCGUUUCCGUGCGCUGCUCUGGUUCGCCAAAAGCAGCUUAGUCAUGCUGGCCACAUGACCCGGAAAGCUGUCUGCGGACAAACGCCGGCUCCCUUGGCCUAUAGAGCGAGAUGAGCGUGCUACCCUGGAGUUGUCCGCGACUGGACCUAACGGUCAGGGGUACCUUUUAGUGCAUCAGCACUAGUUUCUUGUGUAUUAACACUUGUACACUAAGCACUUUGUAUACUGAGAUUUGAUACUACAAAUAUUUGUUAUGGCAUUGAGACCAAGAAAGAUCCGUGCUCUUAAUCCACUACAGAACUUUUAAAGACCAAAAGAAUGAUAUUUUUUACAGACCUGUAUCCUUGAUAAGGAGCCCAUUUUAUCUUUGGUUGCGUCUUGAGUGAGUUAAGAACUUAAUAAAUAGUUAGUGGGUGCUCCAUUACACGUGGAAACAAUGCAUUACCAUGUAAGUAAAAAAACCCAACAGCUUCUGGAUUAUAGCAUCACUAAGAAAUGGAACCCAAUCUUAGGCAAUGUAUGCCGAAAGGUUUGGGCUUCAUUUUCAGGGCUCUCCUUAAAUUCUGCGAGAGAAAUCGUGUCCGCUUCACAGAGGUUGCGGUGAGAUCACUAAGACCGACCUCACUGUUUGUGUGGGUAGGAGUGAUUAGAUAGCCAUAACAACCUGAUUGGGUCCCUCGGUUGCUGGGGUAAUUCUGGCCAAUGGGUUGAGAGAAUUUGCAGCCGGGGGACCUAUUUAUACCGCUGCACGUUGCGUCGAGCUUCCUCUUAGCCCUUCAUGCAUCGGAUCACCCGCCCACCCUCCCUGUAUGUAGGGUCUUGCCAUGACCUUGCUAUGCCGUUGUGGGUCGUCUGCUUUUGGAGCAGGGGCCUGGUAGGAAUUUUCCCAUUCGGCUGAUUGGCUGGUGCCACUUGGGUUUCGCCUGCCGCGUAGCAAAUCGUCACAACUUUGUACGGUUUGGCGGUUAAGCAUUGGUUCAAGGUGUGGUGGAGGGGAGGUUGUCACACCUCUCAAUGUGUGAUAGGGUAUUCCGUUAAAGGAAUCUAGGUGCUCGCCAUGCUUUUGUCCGAUCCCCUUCCAGGGGUUAGGGCCACGCCAGGGCACCUGGGAGCAUUUUGGGGUGAGGUUGCGUCUGUGGUAGGACCAAUGCGCCCCCAGUAUGUUUACUCUUACUGACUUCUGCUGUUGUCAGUGCUGCCCUGCUGGACCAAGUCGAACCAAUGCCUUAAGCAAACCACUCACAUUCUGUAAUCAAUAAAAUUGUGGCCUAAAUUAGGCCAAUAACCUUAAACCAGGCAUCCCCAAACUCAAUUCCCAUCGCCCCUGACCACUGGCCCUGUUAGCUAGGGAUGAUGGAAGUUGUAGUCCCAAAACAUCUGGAGGGUCGAGUUUGGGGGUGCCUGCCUUAAACUAAUAUUGGUGUCAACUGUGUCUUUCUUUGGGAGGUCUUGGGGGUCUUCACACGCAAAGUAAACAGAUUUCAACCAUCAAAACUAAAAGUGGCACAGCCUCCUCCCUUGAAGAGUGUGGGUUUGGGUUGUAGCCAACUAAGUUCUAGUCAGAGUAGACUCAUUGUAAUGGACCUUUUAGUUGUGGCCAUUAAUUUAAAUGGGUCCACUUGGAGUAGGAUUAACAUUGGAGACAAUCCACUUAUAUCUCCAGGGACAGACGACAUGUUUCUUCUGCUAGCCUAGUGCCGUUUGCUCCUGAUUAUAUUCCUUAUAUUCCCCAGAUAAGUCCAUGGCUGCUAUUCUCUCUUUUGAGAAAAAGUAACCACCACCACAAUUUUGUUGUGCGGUCAGUGUAUACCCUUGACAAUCAAUGCUUUUGUCUUCACCAAGAUGUAAUUGUCAAUCACAUUGACAGGUGUUUUGCUGAAAGAGGGUCUUCAAAGAUUAUAGUCACAUUUUUACUUUUUGAAAUACCGAAACCCUAAGAAACUUACCUUAUUUUUCCGUGUAUAAGACGCCCCCAUGUAUAAGACAACCCCUGUUUUUUGAGCCCAAAAUUAAGAUAUAAAUAAUUUCAACGUUCCAUGUAUAAGACAACCUCCAAUUUUAAACUUAAAAAAAUAUUUUGGGGGGGAAUACAGUCUUAUACAUGGAAAAAUGCAGUAAUUUGGAAUUUUAUUUUAUUUUUUCUGCUUUUUAAAAUAAAGAAAUAGUUCUGUGUUUUAAAAGGACAGAUAUGUGACUUUUACGUAUAGGAAAGCUAGUGGACUUUCCCAUAAAAUUGGGAAAUGAAGAACACUGAUUUUAACGCUAUGUCUUAAAAUGCCAUUAGUAUUGUGAAAGGGUUUGUUCCGAAUUGUCACAGUGGUUGGAAAAUAACUUAAAAAUCAUAGCCUGUAAGUAAAACAGAAAGCAACCAGCUAUAUUGAUGUUGUUCUCAGUUGUCAAGUAGCAGUUUAGAGGAAAAAGAAAUGUUGUUUCAGGACAGAGUUGUAGUUUACUUAUGCUUUGUGGUGGUUGCAGCAUGUAUGUAUUUGUGGUGAUAACUUUAUAUAUCUGCAUAUAUCCAGUUCUUCAACUUGCUCUGAAGAAAACAAGUAGGCUCUGGUAAACAAGUGAAUGCUUGAGUUCUUUAUAAUUAAGUAUUAAUUUCUUUCUGGGCUACGUAUGAUGUGGAAGGGGCUGGUGUAAAUAAAUCUUGGUUCUCUAGGUAGCUACCCUCCAAACACAGUGGUACCUCACGAGACGAAUGCCUUGCAAGACGAAAAACUCGCAAGACAAAAGAGUUUUUCGUUUUUCGAGUUGCUUCGCAAGAAGAAUUUCCCUAUGGGCUUGCUUUGCAAGCCGAAAAACGAAAACGUCUUGCAAGUUUGUUUUGAUUGCAAUGAUUUUCAGUGCAUUCCUAUGGGAAACCGUGCUUUGCAAGACGAAAAAUUCGCAAGACGAAAAAACUCGCAGAACGAAUUAAUUUCGUCUUGCGAGGCACCACUGCAGUUUAAGUAAAUCACCAUACAUUUAUUUAAAUGAAAAUUUGCACAAUGGAGUGUAAAUUUCUGCUGCAAAGGCCCCAUAUGCACGGCUUCGUGGCGGUGAGGGGAAGCAGUCCAGGCUGAGGGGACAUUUUGCCUGAGGUGAUGCCUGCAGGCCUUCCUAUCGAAAGGCUCUUGCAGGUAAAAACCAGCUGACUAAGAGUCGAAGAUAAGGACAAAUAUUCCCAAGUCACUCUCUGUUGUCAGGGUCAAAUAACUGCACUAAUUUGUCAGUUGAAAAGCAACUGUUGUUCACAUAAAUUUUUUUUGCCUCUGAACUUUGAAUUAAUUAUAUGGAAGAUUACUUGUACUCAAUUCCCCUAGAACAGAUAUUUGCGGUGGGAAAAACUGUCAAACCUCGGUUGUUGAAUCCAUUCCGUAAGCCCGUUCGGCUUCUGAAACGUUCCACAACCGAAUCACGGCUUCCGAUGGGCUGCAAGAACUUCUUGCAUUCAAGCGGAAGCUGCGUCAAAUGUUUGGCUUCCGAAAAACGUUCAAAAACCGGAACACUUACUUCCGGGUUUUCAGUGUUCGGGAGCCGAAAUGUACUAUAACGGAGGCGUUCAGGAACUGAGGUUUGACUGUAGCAGUUUAAGCUUUUGUUGCACGUGUGCAAUGUAGUAUGCUGAUUUCUUAUAUAAUUUGGAUGGGUACUCAACUAUGUUUUACACAGAGUAAAUCCAAUGAAAGGAAUGAACAUGGUUAAGUUUGGUCUAUUAAUUCCAGCAGCUCCACUCUGCAUUAAAUAUCACCCUAGUUUAUAAUAGUAGAAUAAUAACAACUACUACAAAAUAAUAACAACAACAACAUUAUAAGAGUAAAAAGACAGUAACAGCAGUCAGAUCCUUAUUGGAAACGAUAUUCUGAAAGUCUGCUGAAAUGAAACCGUAUAGUUUUGUCAACGUUAAACAUAUUGCUUUGCAGUUACUCCAGUCCUUUAAAGACAUUGUGCACCUGGUUAGCUUUAAACAUGAGUCUCAUCAAUUAGUCUAUUAAAAAACGGAAACAGUAUUUGCUCCUUAAGACAGAUAUAGUACAGAUAAAAAAUGGAAGCUGCAACUUUAAAAUAGGUGUGAGGAACCCCACUGGUUUUACCCUCUCCUCCCAGCCACAAGCUAUUUAUAAGAAAAUAACUGAAAGGGGAAAGGGCUUUGAUGGCGUGCAAAAUGUACAUUGGCUGGCUUCUUCUUCUACAAGAAGUUCAGAUGUCUCAGUAGAUGGAUUUGUGUUCCUGACAAAUACGCAAACAGUGUGCAUGAAUUUUGCAUUUGCCAAAUAUGCACUUGCCUUUUGAAGGGUCUGGGCUGAGCGAUGGAGGUGGAGACGCUCCUUCAGGUCUACAUUAUUUGGGGUUGGAAGUCUUUUUGCUUUUUAGCACAGGGAGAGGUAAAAGGGUAUUGGACAGUUUUGUUGUUGUUUUUUAACCCAUUUUGAUACAAAACAUCAUUGGAGAAAAUGGUGAGAUUUGAGUGGAGUUACUAAGGAUUAAGUACAUGCCUCUGUUUCCAAGUGAAAUAGUUCUCUGUGCAUGUCUGUGAAGGUUGUAGAAUUGUGGGAGGGGCCCUUGCUACCUCGGAUUGGGUCCCCCACAGCUUCCCACUGGGAUUUUGUUGUUGUUUAGUCGUUUAGACGUGUCCGACUCUUCGUGACCCCCUGGACCAGAGCAUGCCAGGCACUCCUGUCUUCCAUUGCCUCCCGCAGUUUGGUCAAACUCAUGCUGGUAGCUUCGAGAACUCUGUCCAACCAUCUUGUCCUCUGUCGUCCCCUUCUCCUUGUGCCCUCCAUCUUUCCCAGCAUCAGGGUCUUUUCCAGGGAGUCUUCUCUUCUCAUGAGGUGGCCAAAGUAUUGGAGUCUCAGCUUCAGGAUCUGACCUUCCAGUGAGCACUCAGGACUGAUUUCCUUAAGAAUGGAUAGGUUUGAUUUUCUUGCAGUCCAUGGGACUCUCAAGAGUCUCCUCCAGCACCAUAAUUCAAAAGCAUCAAUUCUUCGGCAAUCAGCCUUCUUUAUGGUCCAGCUCUCACUUCCAUACAUCACUACUGGGAAAACCAUAGCUUUUACUAUACGGACCUUUGUUGUCAAGGUGAUGUCUCUGCUUUUUAAGAUGCUGUCUAGGUUUGUCAUUGCUUUUCUCCCAAGAAGCAGGUGUCUUUUAAUUUCGCGGCUGCUGUCACCAUCUGCAGUGAUCAUGGAGCCCAAGAAAGUAAAAUCUCUCACUGCCUCCAUUUCUUCCCCUUCUAUUUGCCAGGAGGUGAUGUGCCCAGUGGCCAUGAUCUUCAUUUUUUUGAUGUUGAGCUUCAAACCAUAUUUUGCGCUCUCCUCUUUCACCCUCAUUAAAAGGUUCUUUAAUUCCUCCUCACUUUCUGCCAUCAAUGUUGUGUCAUCUGCAUAUUUGAGGUUGUUGAUAUUUCUUCCGGCAAUCUUAAUUCCGGCUAGGGAUUCAUCCAGCCCAGCCACAACCCUCAACCAGUCUGAAAAAGUUUACUCAUUCCUGUGCAUAAAUAAGUAAACGUAAAUAAGUAACCAUAGCCAUUUGUCCCUGUGUGUGUGAUUCCACAUAUGUGGGGAAAAUUAAUCCAGUUCCAGAGAUAUAAACGUACAAGAUGGAUAGCUUUUAUCAUAGUUGCUUUUUGUGUCAAGGUAAAUGGUAGGAAAUGGGUGGACUGGGUUUACAAAAUCUUACGUGUCCCGAAUCCUGCAUGGGAUUGCAGCCUCAACCCUUUAUUUUCAGUGGAGUUGGUCACAGCAUAGGAUCAGGCUGUUAAUAUUUUGAAUACUUAUAACUUAACAUAGCUCAAGGGGAGAAUGCGUUUGACUGUUUCCGUGAGGGAUUCCUACAGGCUUCGAUUCUAUUGAAAAGACUUCGGCUUUUCCCAGUGUGCAACUAUCAUUUACUAUAAAAUAGUGGGGAGCCUCUGGCCUGCACAUGAUGCUGGGGACGUUAAAGCUGUGGCUGCGAAAGAACAGCCAGCAGCUUGCUUCUUAUUAUUAUCCAUCGUUGUUGUUAUAAUUAUUAACUGCAAGGCUUCUUAGUUGUUCCUUUGCAGUUGCAGCUUGAACCCAGUUGAAUGCUCUCCUCUUUGAAUUGUGUGCUGUUGAGGUUUUUAAAGCUGUUUUCCGCACGGAUCCCAUUCAUUUUGGCCCUCCCCAAGAUAUCUGAUUCCCACCAAAAGCAGAGAUAUUUCUAUAGUAGAAGGUUGAGUGUGUGUGUUUCAUGGCUAAGACUCAGCAGGAAGAAGAGGAGAUACUCUGCCUACAAUUAGAAGAGCUGAGCUACCUCUGUGAGUUCAGUUUUCAAACCUUGCAUUUCUUCAAAAUAUACUUCCAGGCUUCUCUCUUUCUCAACCUUAUUUUUUAUAUGUUUUCAUUGGAAUUGGAAGGUUAGCCGCUUUUUAAUCCAACGAGGUUACCAGCCCUUCUUUAGGGUAUAUGUUCUUCGCAGCACAAGUGUUUUGUCCAAUGUAACCCGAGGAAUUUUAAACCCAAGAAACAGUAAGAAAGUAUAGUACAGCCAUACCUUGGGUUGCGAACGUGAUCCUUGCGGGAGGCACUUUCGCAACCUGCAGCGCCGCGUCUGCACAUGCGCGUGUGUGUGAUGCAAUUUGGUGUUUUUGCGCAUGCGCGAGCGCCGAAACCCGGAAGUAACCUGUUCUGGUACUUCCGGGCUUGGCGCGGUCCGCAACCCAAACAUGCACAACCCACAGUGUUGACUGUACCUGCAACUAAAACACACCAUUUCUUGCUGUGUUCUCCCCUGAAUCCCCCAGAAAAAAAAGCACUGGUUUUGUAUCUUAAAUGACGUUGCUUCUGCCGAUGUCUGUGUAUUUCAGGGUGUGCCAAUCACCGACAAGGUCAGACAUUUAGAGCCUCUAAGGUGACUUUGUUCUCAGUUAAAUGUGCAUAUAUUCCUUAUGCGACCAAAUGUUUAAAAGUACUAAUGAGCUAGUCCUGCUGGUUAACGGCAAUUUUGCAAAGUAUUGCAUGCUAAAAAAAUUCCUUCAGCAACAUGUACUUCUUUUAUUCAUUCAUUCAAACAAACAAACAAACAAACCCAAAAUUUCAGCUUGUUAGCCAGAUAUUUGAAUUUUGUGUUUUUCAAAACCAUAUGAAGCUAUCCAUAAUUAUCAGAUAGCAGCACUAUUGCCAAAGUGUCUAAUUUACAUAUUUUUUGUAUUGACAAUUGUCUGAAAAUUCCCACUGGCUUUAAUAGGAAGCUGCACAGGGUCUUGCGUGCCAUUUCCCUCACUCCUCUUGCUGCUCUGCAUUAUAGCUAAGCCAGGAAUAUUGAGCUAAUAAGAACUAUGAAGCAGGUGCAUAUUUCUUACCUUUCAUCUUUCGGGUUGCCUGGAUUCCGUUUCUUGUCCAAGGCAUUUGAUAACUCUCUUACUUUUCUAAAUGCCAGCGUAUGUGAGAUCAGAAAGUAGCUAUGUGAAGCCAACUCGUGUCGAACUGGAAGAACAUUUAUUUUCGUUUAUUAAAACUUGUGCAUACUGCCUUUCCUCUUGUUAGAUCAGGAUGGCAUCUGACAUAAAAUCAAUACAAACAAACACAAAACAAUCGUAAAAGCCACAGGAGAGAAGUGAAACAGAUUGAGAUUUUCUCAAAUUUAAGUGUUUAAAUUCCUGGGUGGAGGAAAAAUGUUUUUGUCUAGCGCAGGGGUAGUUAAUCUCCAGCGGAUUAACUCCAAUGUUCAUCUGCCCGUCAGCCUAGCCAGUGGUCAGGAAUGAUGGGAGUUGUCAUAUGAUGUGGAGGGGCCCAGGGAAGCCAGCCCUGGUCUAGCGCUGACAUUUUCCCUUGGGGUGGCCAUUUUACAACCUGGGCACUGGAUCCAUUCAAGGGACAGCUUCUUCCCCUAAUGUGCAAUUGUGAACAAUUUAACCUUUCUGUGCCUAUGUUUUCCCAUUUGGAGAAUGGAAAUCCUGCCUAGCAGCUUAUUUGCAAAACAUAGUCUGAAGAUAUCUAAAUGACAAGUGCUAUGCAAGUGAUUAAUGGUUUCCUUAUUAUCACAAAUCCGAGUUUUAUUUUCGUAGAGUUGGAAGGGAACCCCAGGGUCAUCUAGUCCAACCCCCUGCAAUGCAGGAAUCUCAGCUAAAGCAUCCAUGACAGAUGGUCAUCCAACCUUAGUGAUUAUUGAUACUGAUGACGCUUUCAUAGUUCAGAUCUUUACCUAUGGGGUGGUGCAUCCUUCUUGCAGCAGGGAUAGCCUCCUCCCAUUGAGAGCGUCAACCUUAGUGCAUGGGUUGUGUGCCUUGCCCCCUGAGAGUUUAGCCAUUCCCUGACCCCUGGACCAGGCCAUGGGCACUGAGAUGCUCUGCAGGUGAGCCUAGCUGUCGUCUUCGUAUGCUGUAAAAAGACUCCGAUUUUUCAGUGUGUCAGCAAACUUGCCCAUGAAAUCUGUUGAGCAGAGAAUGUUGUAAGUUUGGGCUUUAUUUACUUGUAUUUGUUUUUAAGAAACAGUGAGUUUUUGUUUGUUUACAUACUGUUUACAAUGACACAGGUUUAUUUUUAAUAUAUACAACGGUUGAGAUAUUUAUUGCAUAUGCUAUUUGAAAGAUGUUUUAUGUGUUUUGCACCUUUGGGAUAUAUUGUUACAUUUCUGUAUUCAGAAUAUUUGGGUGGUUCUGUUAAUAGUAAUUUUAUGACUUCUAAGUGACCAGUUUUUUGUGCCUUUUUAUUACUGGAUGCAUGAUUGCCUAUUUAUUAUUGUAUGGAAGUCAUGGAGAUGUGUAUUUUUGUAUGCUGCUGGAUGCAAUGGUUGAUUUUAUUGUACAUUUAUGAGAUAUGCCUCCCUUAAAGGGCACUCAAUGGAUCUUCCUUCUGAAAUAAACCAAUACAUACAAUCUC